UUUCCAUUCAGCUUCUCACAAGGACAAUCAAUACCUAAUUUCUCUCAAACCCUAGGGCGAUCUCCUCCUUCAAGCUUUCUGCCGAUCAAUCGACUUCAACAAGGUUCUGAAUCGAUUAAUAGAUUUCUGGAUCUGAUUAUAAAAUGGAGGAUCAAGAGAUGGUGGUGAAGCAGAUGUGUAAGCAACAAAUGACAACCUAAUUUCUGCUGAACCCUAAAACCCACCAUCGCAAAUUUGCUUUGUCUGUUCUUGAUCGAUUCCUCUUUGAUAAUCGAAGGAAGCACUGCACUGGAUGCUGUUCAUGUUAUCAAAAAGAACCAAGAAAAUGCUUUUGCAAUGCUAGCAGCAGUAAUGUGACAUUUUCUAUUGUUGAUAAUGACAACCAUGUUGAACCAGUUAUUGAUGAAGCGUAUAAAUCAUAUAUUGAGUAUGCUUUGCAGUCAAAUAUGGCAUCAUCACCAGAUUCUAUAUUGCAAUCUUAUCAGCGUGUUACCAACAUCUCUUACUUCAACUGAUCUCAUGUUAGAUAGCGUGCAGAAGAUGCUGGACUCUGACGGGUCAUGUAUAUUGCACAACAUCAAAACUAGAAUAUGGAUAGUAGAUUUACAGGUUGUUCGGUGCCCUAUAUGUGACCUGAACACAUGUGAUGGAACAAUGUAGGUACUGGAUGCCAGACACUUGGAGCUCUUCCUCAAUGACGGGUUCGUAAAUGGAAGCUGGGAGUACGAGCUGGUAGGAUCUCAUGAUAUCAAAAGACAUGUAAACAAUGCAUUUGAUGGCAUUUUGGACUCAAAACACUUUAAGAGUCCAUACACAGCUGUGAUAUGGCAAAGAGUUUAUUCAAGCAAGAACAUGAUCUUGGUAAGUGUUUCCUUUGUUAUAUUGAUAUUAUGCCCGGUUCGGACCAAUGGCGGACCUAGAAAAAAAAAUUGUUCAUGGGGGGCGAUUGGGUGGCUUAACCAAAAUUUUAUGAGGAGCGAUUUAGAUUUUAGCGUAGAAAUAACAGUAAAAAAAUUGUUCAUAGGGGGCGAUUAGGAUUUUACCCUAGGCGUUGCCGAAUUGGUCAUGAAAUGACCUCCACAGGAGAAAGUUGGUGUGAAAUCGAUCAGAGACGAAGAAUUUGAGCUUAUGUCAGCUCUUUACAGUCAGCAUCAUCAGUCAGGCACUCAUUUUCGUUACAAGAUCGUGAAGCUGGUCGUUUGUUGAACGCCCCGGUCUUCUACUCCUCACCGCCUUUUUUAUAGCUCAGCUGGUGAGUUUAUUUAUAUUUAUAUAACAGUAUUUAUAACGAAAGUAAAUGUGACGCUUUUAGGGGCAACAAUCAAAUGGACAAAAGGCUGAGAGGCAUCGAUUUUCUCAUUAUCGCGAGAAGGAUGAAGGGGGGCAGCGACAAACUUGGUUCUGAUUGGAGUUUUAAGGGCAAGUUUUUAUUGAGUUUUCUUUUUCUUAUUGGCUCAAUUGAAGCCAUAACACAUACGCUUCAGAAUUUUCAAUGAUAACUUCGAAUUUUUUGAAUUAGGGUUUGUUUUGAAUGUUAUUUUGUUUUCAGUGACUUUGAUGUUGAUUUGUGGAUGUCGGCUUUUGUUUGUUGAUGGGAAUGAAGCAGAAGCUGGUCCCAUCAUAUUAACCACUAUAGGAUGCAAGAAUGGAGAACCAAAACAGUGCCACCAUGGCCAACAAAAAAUACAGAAAAAUUUAGUUAAGCAUCAUCUCUAUGUCUGUCUCCAAUCAAUCAUGUUCUCAUCAACGAGCAUCGUCUAACAAGGCAUAAUGGUUUGUAACUCAUUCUUUAAAAUUAAUCUCAUUCAUCCUUAAUAUUUUUUUCUUCUUUGUUGUUAUUAUGUUAAAACUCAUCAUACCUAAACCAAGCAUGAAGCAUGUUAAUAUUUGUACUUUACUUUGGAAGGUCAAGUAAAACACCAAAUUUGUCUUGUAGCAUAUGAGUUUUUGAAGCAAAAUGAUAAGAUGGUAUAAUGGGUAGCUCAAGCGAGUUGGGUUUUGAUACGAAUUGUUGAAUCGGUCCAAACAAAUUCGAAGGGGCUGAAAUUAGUUUUUUUUAUAGAGAUUCAUUAGUUUCCUUUUAAGUUCUAGCAUUUGAUAUCUUUUUAAUAAGUCUCCCCAAAUCUUGAAUAGUAGUUCUAUGAGCGAUGUUUGCCUCUUGAAAGCACACUAAAUUUUGUAAUCAUCUGUAUAUCAAUUUUUAUUAGUAACAAUAUCCAUUUUGUUCGUAUUAAAUUAGUGUAUAUUUAUGGUGACAUUACAGUUUGGUUUAGAUGUUUUACAUUAGUGUUUCUUAGGCUAUAGGGUGU
Long non-coding RNA from Helianthus annuus (common sunflower), 2309 nucleotides. RefSeq lists it as uncharacterized. NCBI's taxonomy places the organism in Eukaryota, Viridiplantae, Streptophyta, Magnoliopsida, Asterales, Asteraceae. The record is from RefSeq and is a predicted model, not a curated record. The transcript has 9 exons.